RNAcentral lists this long non-coding RNA (311 nucleotides) under Elaeis guineensis (African oil palm). RNAcentral's name for it is "long non-coding RNA (EGUI_LNC014972)". The record is from RNAcentral. Lineage: Eukaryota; Viridiplantae; Streptophyta; Magnoliopsida; Arecales; Arecaceae.
AUCCAAUCCCUCCUGAAGUUCAAGAACGGCAUCUGCACCAACCCCCCUCUGAUGCAUCGACUUCUAGAAGCACCCAUCGGAGGGAUCCUCCACCUACCCCCAUAACUAGGGUGGGACCUCCUGUGACGACUCCAGUGCCAUGAUCCCCCUCACCCUCGACGGCCUCGACCUCACCUACGGGAUCUUUUGUGAUGACUUCGCAACCUCUCCCUUUCCGACAGAGGAGGGGGGGAGAGGGCCGGUGAUCGGAGAGGGAGGCAGCGAAGCAUAUGGAAGUUUUGCGAGAGAGAGAGAGGGGGAAGGAGAGAGAA